Molecule: ribosomal RNA, 301 nt
Filed under: uncultured bacterium
Lineage: Bacteria
Description: partial 16S ribosomal RNA
Rfam family: Bacterial small subunit ribosomal RNA
Source: RNAcentral
CAGCAGCCGCGGGAAUACAGAGGGUGCAAGCGUUAAUCGGAAUUACUGGGCGUAAAGCGCGCGUAGGUGGUUAGUUAAGUUGGAUGUGAAAUCCCCGGGCUCAACCUGGGAACUGCAUUCAAAACUGACUGACUAGAGUAUGGUAGAGGGUGGUGGAAUUUCCUGUGUAGCGGUGAAAUGCGUAGAUAUAGGAAGGAACACCAGUGGCGAAGGCGACCACCUGGACUGAUACUGACACUGAGGUGCGAAAGCGUGGGGAGCAAACAGGAUUAGAUACCCCGGUAGUCCCUGUCUCUUAUAC